RNAcentral lists this long non-coding RNA (216 nucleotides) under Mytilus galloprovincialis (Mediterranean mussel). Lineage: Eukaryota; Metazoa; Mollusca; Bivalvia; Mytilida; Mytilidae. The record is from RNAcentral.
UUGCAGGUGGCACGGUAGUAUUUGCAUUCCAGAAUUUAGGUUUCUCUUUUGUGUACCCUACUUAGGUAAAUGUAUCUAAACAGUGUGAUUGGACAAAAAAUACAGUAUCAACUGAACAUACUUUCCCAAACUGAGGGAUGAAUCAGGUGUAGAAAAAUAUGAAAUAAUUUUACAUACAGAUGAAAAUGAAUUUUUGAGAAUUUUUGAGAAUUUUGU